GGAUUGUGGCUCAGUGGUAGAGUGCUCGCCUAGCACAUGUGAGGCCCUAGGUUCAAUCCUCAGCACCA
This 68-nucleotide transfer RNA is filed under the name Marmota monax (woodchuck). RNAcentral describes it as "tRNA.Ala". Lineage: Eukaryota; Metazoa; Chordata; Mammalia; Rodentia; Sciuridae. The record is from RNAcentral.